GACGAACGCUGCGGCGUGCUUAACACAUGCAAGUCGACCGAUGAAGCCUAGCUUGCUAGGUGGAUUAGUGGCGAACGGGUGAGUAAUACGUGAGUAACCUACCUUUAACUCUGGGAUAAGCCCGGGAAACUGGGUCUAAUACCGGAUACGACCAAUCUCCGCAUGGGGUGUUGGUGGAAAGCGUUAUGUAGCGGUUAUAGAUGGGCUCACGGCCUAUCAGCUUGUUGGUGAGGUAACGGCUCACCAAGGCGACGACGGGUAGCCGGCCUGAGAGGGUGACCGGCCACACUGGGACUGAGACACGGCCCAGACUCCUACGGGAGGCAGCAGUGGGGAAUAUUGCACAAUGGGCGCAAGCCUGAUGCAGCGACGCCGCGUGAGGGAUGACGGCCUUCGGGUUGUAAACCUCUGUUAGCAGGGAAGAAGAGAAAUUGACGGUACUGCAGAGAAAGCGCGG
This 457-nucleotide ribosomal RNA is filed under the name Rothia mucilaginosa. RNAcentral describes it as "bacterial SSU rRNA". It matches the Rfam family "Bacterial small subunit ribosomal RNA", at positions 28 to 495 of the family's 1533-position model. Lineage: Bacteria; Bacillati; Actinomycetota; Actinomycetes; Micrococcales; Micrococcaceae. The record is from RNAcentral.